GAAGUUAUCUCAUGAUACUUUACAUAUUAUUUAAGAGAUCUAAGAGAAAUUUAGUCUAAUGUCUGUUAAAUCAUUUUGAAUCAUUUUCUCAAACAUCAAUAAAACUCUGUGCAUCAGUUAAAAAUGAUAAAGGUAUAUGGUACCUUACUCUGUUUGGUGAAAUAAUCAGAUUUUAAAAAUGUAUAUGUUUGUCCAAGUUUAAGUUUUAUUGAAUAAUAUUUAAGCUCUUUACAAAGAAAUAGGCUAAACAAAAGUGCCUAGAUCUGUAGUAUCUAUAAAAUACAGACACAUAAACAGACCUGUAAGACCACAGUUAGCAGAUGAUACAGUAAAACUACUACACUACUCAAUUACUCAAAUAUGGGAUUUGA
This is a long non-coding RNA of Sphaeramia orbicularis (orbiculate cardinalfish), 371 nucleotides long. RefSeq lists it as uncharacterized. The record is from RefSeq and is a predicted model, not a curated record. Lineage: Eukaryota; Metazoa; Chordata; Actinopteri; Kurtiformes; Apogonidae. The transcript is spliced from 2 exons.